Molecule: ribosomal RNA, 253 nt
Filed under: uncultured bacterium
Lineage: Bacteria
Description: partial 16S ribosomal RNA
Rfam family: Bacterial small subunit ribosomal RNA
Source: RNAcentral
UACGGAGGGGGCUAGCGUUGUCCGAAGUUACUGGGCGUAAAGCGCGCGUAGGCGGGUUGGUAAGUCCGCUGUGAAAGCCCGGAGCUCAACUCCGGAGGGUCGGUGGAUACUGCCAGUCUUGAAGGUGCUAGGGGGAGAUGGAAUUACCGGUGUAGCGGUGAAAUGCGUAGAUAUCGGUAGGAACACCAGUGGCGAAAGCGGCUCACUGGACCAUAACUGACGCUGAUGCACGAAAGCUAGGGGAGCAAACAGG